RNAcentral lists this transfer RNA (75 nucleotides) under Prolixibacter sp. NT017. Its description in RNAcentral is "tRNA-Arg". It matches the Rfam family "tRNA". Rfam says of the family: Transfer RNA (tRNA) molecules are approximately 80 nucleotides in length. Their secondary structure includes four short double-helical elements and three loops (D, anti-codon, and T loops). The record is from RNAcentral. Lineage: Bacteria; Pseudomonadati; Bacteroidota; Bacteroidia; Marinilabiliales; Prolixibacteraceae.
GGCCCCAUAGUUCAAGGGAUAGAACGACAGUUUCCUAAACUGUAGAUCCAGGUUCGAGUCCUGGUGGGGCUACCA